Peromyscus californicus insignis is the source of this 1997-nucleotide long non-coding RNA. RefSeq lists it as uncharacterized. The record is from RefSeq and is a predicted model, not a curated record. The transcript is spliced from 4 exons. NCBI's taxonomy places the organism in Eukaryota, Metazoa, Chordata, Mammalia, Rodentia, Cricetidae.
UGGUUAUACAUCAUCUUUCUGUUGAUGUGGAUCCCAAGAUGUAAAUUUCCUGAACUAUUUGUAGGUGAUGUUUGAUGGUGUUAAAUGUCUGAUGCAUUCAUUGGAGAAAGGACAAGAGGGUGUGAUGUCUUUUUUUUUUUUCCAAAAGGAAAUUGCUUUAAUGAGAUUUUCCCCAGCAGUUCUGACCCCUCUACCUUUCAUAGCCUUGUGUGGUUUUGUUGGUGGUAGUUUUUUUGUAGUGGUGGUGGUGGUGGUUUUCUCGCAGGUUGAAUAGCAAUACUGAUUUUCUCCCUAUCAGCUCACCAGGGAAAGGGAAGUGUUGGGGUUACAUGGAGGAAGAAGUCGGGGGAAGAGAGGAAGGGGACGACAGGUGGUCUGGGAGGAAGGCACUCAGCCAUCCGCCGGCCGGUCCAGGACUGUUCUGCAGGGAGGUCCUGAGCCUUCCCUUUGCAAGCUGAAGCACUCCGAGUUGUGUCGCGGCUGCUGGAGCGACCCUCACCUAACCCAGGUCGCUCAGAGGGAAGCCCGGAGCUCCCAGUCUGGUCUCCGGUUGUAUCCCGAUCGCUGGCUGCAUUUGCCCGGAAACAAGGGUGACAGCCCAGUCCUCUGCCGCUACUCCACGCUGCCUGCAUCUCUCCAUCUCUCCCCGUCUCUCCCCGCGUUGCGUUUCUGGGUCUACAGGGGGGCGACAGCGUGGAGCUCACUAUUGGCCGCUGCAGCCAGCUGGGAGGGACAUUGCGGAAUGACUGCACACGUAGCAGCGCACAGGCUUCAGGAGAAGCAGGAAGGCAGAGCCUCUCAGGUGUCAGUACAGCCUAGUGGUCUAAGGCGCCAGACCCAAGGCAGCAGCCUUCCGGUGGGUGUUCUGGUCUCCAAAAGGAGGUGUGGGUUCGAUUCCCACUUCUGACACGAAGCUCCUUAUCCCUGUGUCAAGUAGGGUUCAGCAUUAUCCCAGGGUCCUUGAAAGAGAGAGCAGGGCAGUCAGAGGCAGAGGAACCAGUGUGACAUCAGAAGGAGGGAAGAAAGGAGAGAUACCCAAAGAUGAAGAUGAACUGUUGCUGUCUUUGAAGAUAGACAGAGGGGCCAAAGCCAAGGAAUAAACACCUCUCUAGACCAAGAAAGCCAGAGGGAAAAAAACUCCCCUUGGACCUACAGGAGCAACGGAGCCCUGCUGCUGAUACAUUGAUUUUGGCUCAUUCUGGCUUCCGACUGUAGAAAGGAAGCUCCUUAUCCCUGUGUCAAGUAGGGUUCAGCAUUAUCCCAGGGUCCUUGAAAGAGAGAGCAGGGCAGUCAGAGGCAGAGGAACCAGUGUGACAUCAGAAGGAGGGAAGAAAGGAGAGAUACCCAAAGAUGAAGAUGAACUGUUGCUGUCUUUGAAGAUAGACAGAGGGGCCAAAGCCAAGGAAUAAACACCUCUCUAGACCAAGAAAGCCAGAGGGAAAAAAACUCCCCUUGGACCUACAGGAGCAACGGAGCCCUGCUGCUGAUACAUUGAUUUUGGCUCAUUCUGGCUUCCGACUGUAGAAAGAUGCGGAAACAGAAAGAGACAUGAAGUGACUGCUGAUGAGUGGGAGGGCAGGCUGGCAGCCAGCCUCCAGGGACCACCUUCUACCCACUGUACUGUACUUACUGCCUCUUCAGAGGCCACAUGGAAAAAGGUUUAGCUCCGGCAGUGUUUGGUAGAAGGACACCAUCAGAAGGACCCACAGAAACUGAGGGUACUAGAAGGCCUGGACCUAAGCAGGUAGACCCUGGCAAGACACAGAGGUCAAGAAAUAACAUGGAGAGAAUGGAUGAGAGGGAAAGGUAAGGAAGAGGUGAGAGAGUGCUCCUGGAAACCAACCCUGCUAUUUCCAGAGUGGAGAAGCAAGGACACUACACUCGGGGGAUUGAGCCUUCCUUCCUAUGGGGUAUAGAUGCUGCUUCCUAUAAGACCCUGUGUAUAGAGAGGGCUUUUCCUCUACCUUGCUCACAAUUAUACUGACUGGCUUCCUGCU